Molecule: transfer-messenger RNA, 359 nt
Filed under: Phycisphaerales bacterium
Lineage: Bacteria; Pseudomonadati; Planctomycetota; Phycisphaerae; Phycisphaerales
Also listed under: 1 other name
Rfam family: transfer-messenger RNA
About the family: Bacterial tmRNA, also known as 10Sa RNA or SsrA, is named for its dual tRNA and mRNA-like properties. Its role is to liberate the mRNA from a stalled ribosome.
Source: RNAcentral
GGGGGCGAAUGGCUUCGACCGGAUAGGUAGACGGUCAGGUUGCAUGUCCAGGAUGUCGGUUGGCCUGGCUAAAUAUCCGGCAAACUUAAUUUAAUUGGCAACUCACAGUUGCAAAUGGCUGCCUAAUAGUGGCAACCCGUUCUGACGGACCGUUUCUCGCCGGUUCGUUAAGAGCGCCGAUCAGCGGGAUAGCCUUUGCGGGUGUUCGUGACGUAAAGGCGAAAUUUAUCGCGGACUAGUAAGCGAUAUAGCCUGUCGUUUGGCGCUGUCGUAAGCGAAUGUUAAAUGAACGACUAAACAUGUAGACGCCUUUCCUGAAAUGUCACGGGACGGGGGUUCGAAUCCCCCCGCCUCCAUCC